GAAAUGCGAUAAGUAAUUUGAAUUGCAGAAUUCAGUGAAUCAUCGAAUCUUUGAACGCACCUUGCGCUCCUUGGUAUUCCUUGGAGCAUGCCUGUUUGAGUAUCAUGAAAUCUUCAAAGUAAAUCUUUUGUUAACUCAAUUGGUUUCUACUUUGGUAUUGGAGGUCUUUGCAGCUUCACACCUGCUCCUCUUUGUUCAUUAGCUGGAUCUCAGUGUUAUGCUUGGUUCCACUCGGCGUGAUAAGUUAUCUAUCGCUGAGGACACUGUAAAAGGUGGCCAAGGUAAAUGCAGAUGAACCGCUUCUAAUAGUCCAUUGACUUGGACAAUACUUUUAUGAUCUGAUCUCAAAUCGGGUAGGACUACCCGCUGAACUUAAGC
This 378-nucleotide unclassified non-coding RNA is filed under the name plant metagenome. Its description in RNAcentral is "partial contains 5.8S ribosomal RNA, internal transcribed spacer 2, and large subunit ribosomal RNA". The stretch from base 1 to 105 matches the Rfam family "5.8S ribosomal RNA", at positions 50 to 154 of the family's 154-position model. The record is from RNAcentral.